This 95-nucleotide transfer RNA is filed under the name Mycolicibacterium chubuense. RNAcentral's name for it is "tRNA-Arg". RNAcentral also lists the same sequence under 1 other name. Lineage: Bacteria; Bacillati; Actinomycetota; Actinomycetes; Mycobacteriales; Mycobacteriaceae. The record is from RNAcentral.
UUGGUGUUGGGCCGAUCGGUCAGCUCGGUGGCCCCCGACGGCGCCUCGAGGUCGUCGAUGUCGUCCUCGUCGUCGGUCUCGUCGACGUCAUCGAC